RNAcentral lists this ribosomal RNA (464 nucleotides) under Vreelandella stevensii. RNAcentral's name for it is "partial 16S ribosomal RNA". It matches the Rfam family "Bacterial small subunit ribosomal RNA", at positions 339 to 795 of the family's 1533-position model. The record is from RNAcentral. Lineage: Bacteria; Pseudomonadati; Pseudomonadota; Gammaproteobacteria; Oceanospirillales; Halomonadaceae.
CCUCGGGGGGCAGCAGUGGGGAAUAUUGGACAAUGGGGGCAACCCUGAUCCAGCCAUGCCGCGAGUGUGAAGAAGGCCCUCGGGUUGUAAAGCACUUUCAGUGAGGAAGAACGCCUGGUGGUUAAUACCCAUCAGGAAAGACAUCACUCACAGAAGAAGCACCGGCUAACUCCGUGCCAGCAGCCGCGGUAAUACGGAGGGUGCGAGCGUUAAUCGGAAUUACUGGGCGUAAAGCGCGCGUAGGUGGCUUGAUAAGCCGGUUGUGAAAGCCCCGGGCUCAACCUGGGAACGGCAUCCGGAACUGUCAAGCUAGAGUGCAGGAGAGGAAGGUAGAAUUCCCGGUGUAGCGGUGAAAUGCGUAGAGAUCGGGAGGAAUACCAGUGGCGAAGGCGGCCUUCUGGACUGACACUGACACUGAGGUGCGAAAGCGUGGGUAGCAAACAGGAUUAGAUACCCUAGUAGUC